This 334-nucleotide long non-coding RNA is filed under the name Sorghum bicolor (sorghum). RNAcentral describes it as "long non-coding RNA (SBIC_LNC013138)". The record is from RNAcentral. Lineage: Eukaryota; Viridiplantae; Streptophyta; Magnoliopsida; Poales; Poaceae.
GGCAUGGUGCUUAGUUUAAACUGUUUUCUUGAGUCAUAAUUAGACGAGUUGUUUAGUUUUAUUCUUGAACUAAGAGGUGUGUUGAUUUUUACUUUCAAAGGCUUUUUAAAUUAAGCGUGGUGCUUAGGUUAAAAUGCCUUCCUAAAUCAAAUUAGACGUGGUGUCUAGGUUGAUUUUUGAGCCGAUAGUAUGCUGUAGUAGAUAUUGGAAUAUUUUGUUAGACUAACCCCUGCAGGAAAACUUCCAAAUUCAAAUUAGGAGAGUCCUGAGAUGAACACACACUGGAGAUGAAGAGAUACAAUAAUCUUGCACAAGGAAGAUAUAACUCACUCAU